Molecule: ribosomal RNA, 433 nt
Filed under: uncultured bacterium
Lineage: Bacteria
Description: partial 16S ribosomal RNA
Rfam family: Bacterial small subunit ribosomal RNA
Source: RNAcentral
AGCGAACGCUGGCGGCAGGCCUAACACAUGCAAGUCGAACGAACUCUUCGGAGUUAGUGGCGGACGGGUGAGUAACACGAGGGAACGUGCCUUUAGGUUCGGAAUAACUCAGGGAAACUUGUGCUAAUACCGAAUGUGCCCUUCGGGGGAAAGAUUUAUCGCCUUUAGAGCGGCCCGCGUCUGAUUAGCUAGUUGGUGAGGUAAAGGCUCACCAAGGCGACGAUCAGUAGCUGGUCUGAGAGGAUGAUCAGCCACAUUGGGACUGAGACACGGCCCAAACUCCUACGGGAGGCAGCAGUGGGGAAUCUUGCGCAAUGGGCGAAAGCCUGACGCAGCCAUGCCGCGUGAAUGAUGAAGGUCUUAGGAUUGUAAAAUUCUUUCACCGGGGACGAUAAUGACGGUACCCGGAGAAGAAGCCCCGGCUAACUUCGUG